Molecule: ribosomal RNA, 441 nt
Filed under: uncultured bacterium
Lineage: Bacteria
Description: partial 16S ribosomal RNA
Rfam family: Bacterial small subunit ribosomal RNA
Source: RNAcentral
CCUACGGGUGGCAGCAGUGGGGAAUAUUGCACAAUGGGGGAAACCCUGAUGCAGCGACGCCGCGUGAGCGCGGAAGUAUUUCGGUAUGUAAAGCUCUAUCAGCAGGGACGAAAAAAGACGGUACCUGACUAAGAAGCCCCGGCUAACUACGUGCCAGCAGCCGCGGUAAUACGUAGGGGGCAAGCGUUAUCCGGAUUUACUGGGUGGAAAGGGAGCGUAGAUGGCAAGGCAAGCCAGAAGUGAAAGGGCAGGGCUCAACCCUGUACAUGCUUUUGGAACUGGGGUGAUAGAGGGCAGGAGGGGUAAGUGGAAUUCCUAGUGUAGCGGUGAAAUGCGUAGAUAUUAGGAGGAACACCAGUGGCGAAGGCGGCUUACUGGACUGUAACUGACGUUGAGGCUCGAAAGCGUGGGGAGCAAACAGGAUUAGAUACCCUUGUAGUC